GGAGAGGUGGGAGAGUGGCUUAAUCCACAAGUUUGCUAAACUUGCGUACGAGAAAUUGUACCGGGGGUUCGAAUCCCCCCCUCUCCG
RNAcentral lists this transfer RNA (87 nucleotides) under Bacteroidota bacterium. Its description in RNAcentral is "Bacteroidetes bacterium (cold seep metagenome) tRNA-Ser". It matches the Rfam family "tRNA". From Rfam's summary of the family: Transfer RNA (tRNA) molecules are approximately 80 nucleotides in length. Lineage: Bacteria; Pseudomonadati; Bacteroidota. The record is from RNAcentral.